RNAcentral lists this ribosomal RNA (253 nucleotides) under uncultured bacterium. RNAcentral describes it as "partial 16S ribosomal RNA". It matches the Rfam family "Bacterial small subunit ribosomal RNA", at positions 524 to 776 of the family's 1533-position model. The record is from RNAcentral.
UACGUAUGGUGCAAGCGUUAUCCGGAUUUACUGGGUGUAAAGGGAGCGCAGGCGGCACGGCAAGCCUGAUGUGAAAGCCCGCGGCCCAACCGCGGGACUGCAUUGGGAACUACCGGGCUGGAGUGCCGGAAAGGUAGGCGGAAUUCCUAGUGUAGCGGUGAAAUGCGUAGAUAUUAGAAGGAACACCAGUGGCGAAGGCGGCCUACUGGACGGUGACUGACGCUGAGGCUCGAAAGCGUGGGGAGCAAACAGG